Molecule: non-coding RNA, 88 nt
Filed under: Pseudomonas sp. NFACC37-1
Lineage: Bacteria; Pseudomonadati; Pseudomonadota; Gammaproteobacteria; Pseudomonadales; Pseudomonadaceae
Also listed under: 2 other names
Source: RNAcentral
UUUUAUGGCGGUUGCGCGCGGGAGAUCUUUGGGUCUGCCGAGUUUGAUUCCUCUUCGGUCUGCGAACCCGCGCGUAGCUGCCACCCGU